Molecule: ribosomal RNA, 460 nt
Filed under: uncultured bacterium
Lineage: Bacteria
Description: partial 16S ribosomal RNA
Rfam family: Bacterial small subunit ribosomal RNA
Source: RNAcentral
CCUACGGGAGGCAGCAGUGAGGAAUAUUGGUCAAUGGACGAGAGUCUGAUCCAGCCAAGUAGCGUGAAGGAUGACUGCCCUAUGGGUUGUAAACUUCUUUUAUAUGGGAAUAAAAUGUUCCACGUGUGGGAUUUUGUAUGUACCAUAUGAAUAAGGAUCGGCUAACUCCGUGCCAGCAGCCGCGGUAAUACGGAGGAUCCGAGCGUUAUCCGGAUUUUUUGGGUGUAAAGGGAGCGUAGGUGGAGUGUUAAGUCAGUUGUGAAAGUUUGCGGCUCAACCGUAGAAUUGCAGUUGAAACUGGCAGGCUUGAGUAUAGUAGAGGUGGGCGGAAUUCGUGGUGUAGCGGUGAAAUGCUUAGAUAUCACGAAGAACACCGAUGGCGAAGGCAGUUCACUGGACUGCAACUGACACUGAGGCUCGAAAGUGUGGGUAUCAAACAGGAUUAGAUACCCCUGUAGUC